Molecule: ribosomal RNA, 407 nt
Filed under: uncultured bacterium
Lineage: Bacteria
Description: partial 16S ribosomal RNA
Rfam family: Bacterial small subunit ribosomal RNA
Source: RNAcentral
AUUGAACGCUGGCGGCAGGCCUAACACAUGCAAGUCGAGCGGAGCGGCGGACGGGUGAGUAAUGCCUAGGAAUCUGCAUGGUAGUGGGGGAUAACGUCCGGAAACGGGCGCUAAUAUCGCAUACUAUCAGAUGAGCCUAGGUCGGAUUAGCUAGUUGGUGGGGUAAAGGCCUACCAAGGCGACGAUCCGUAACUGGUUUGAGAGGAUGAGCAGUCACACGGUAACUGAGAAACGUUCCAGACGACUCCGGGAGGCAGCAGUGGGGAGUAUUGGACAAUGGGCGAAAGCCUGAUCCAGCCAUGCCGCGUGUGUGAAGAAGGUCUUCGGAUUGUAAAGCACUUUAAGUUGGGAGGCGUGACCAACAGAAUAAGCACCGGCUAACGUCGUGCCAGCAGCCGCGGUAAUUC